RNAcentral lists this microRNA precursor (60 nucleotides) under Pteropus alecto (black flying fox). RNAcentral describes it as "microRNA pal-mir-1388 precursor". The record is from miRBase by way of RNAcentral. Lineage: Eukaryota; Metazoa; Chordata; Mammalia; Chiroptera; Pteropodidae.
AGGACUGUCUAACCUGAGAAUGAUGUUUCCAGAGGCACUCUCAGGCUCGUCAGCCCGGGA